GACGAACGCUGGCGGCGUGCUUAACACAUGCAAGUCGAACGAUGAAGCCCAGCUUUCUGGGUGGGUUAGUGGCGAACGGGUGAGUAACACGUGAGCAACGUUCCCGAGACUCUGGAAUAACUACCGGCAACGGUUGCUAAUACUUGGUAUGUGCCAGGGAGGCCUCUCCUCUUGUUGGAAAAAUUUUUCGGUUUCGGAUCGGCUCACGGCCUAUCAGCUUGUUGGUGGGGUAAUGGCCUACCAAGGCGACGACGGGUAGCCGGCCUGAGAGGGUGACCGGCCACACUGGGACUGAGACACGGCCCAGACUCCUACGGGAGGCAGCAGUGGGGAAUAUUGCACAAUGGGCGCAAGCCUGAUGCAGCAACGCCGCGUGAGGGAUGACGGCCUUCGGGUUGUAAACCUCUUUUAGUAGGGAAGAAGCGCAAGUGACGGUACCUGCAGAAAAAGCACCGGCUAACUACGUG
This 467-nucleotide ribosomal RNA is filed under the name uncultured bacterium. RNAcentral's name for it is "partial 16S ribosomal RNA". It matches the Rfam family "Bacterial small subunit ribosomal RNA", at positions 28 to 507 of the family's 1533-position model. The record is from RNAcentral.